GCCCAUGUGGUUCAGUGGAUAGAGUGUCAUCCUUUGGAAUGAAGGGUCCUGGGUUCAAUUCCCUUCAUUGGCA
Molecule: transfer RNA, 73 nt
Filed under: Myotis brandtii (Brandt's bat)
Lineage: Eukaryota; Metazoa; Chordata; Mammalia; Chiroptera; Vespertilionidae
Rfam family: tRNA
About the family: Transfer RNA (tRNA) molecules are approximately 80 nucleotides in length. Their secondary structure includes four short double-helical elements and three loops (D, anti-codon, and T loops). Further hydrogen bonds mediate the characteristic L-shaped molecular structure. tRNAs have two regions of fundamental functional importance: the anti-codon, which is responsible for specific mRNA codon recognition, and the 3' end, to which the tRNAs corresponding amino acid is attached (by aminoacyl-tRNA synthetases). tRNAs cope with the degeneracy of the genetic code in two manners: having more than one tRNA (with a specific anti-codon) for a particular amino acid; and 'wobble' base-pairing, i.e. permitting non-standard base-pairing at the 3rd anti-codon position.
Source: Rfam by way of RNAcentral